UACGAAGGGGGCUAGCGUUGUUCGGAAUCACUGGGCGUAAAGCGCACGUAGGCGGCCUCUUAAGUCGGGGGUGAAAUCCUGGAGCUCAACUCCAGAACUGCCUUCGAUACUGAGAGUCUUGAGUCCGGGAGAGGUGAGUGGAACUGCGGGUGUAGAGGUGAAAUUCGUAGAUAUUCGCAAGAACACCAGUGGCGAAGGCGGCUCACUGGACUGGUAUUGACGCUGAGGUGCGAAAGCGUGGGGAGCAAACAGG
Molecule: ribosomal RNA, 253 nt
Filed under: uncultured bacterium
Lineage: Bacteria
Description: partial 16S ribosomal RNA
Rfam family: Bacterial small subunit ribosomal RNA
Source: RNAcentral